GGGAGGCAACAGGGCCAAGGUUAGCAGGAGAGGCAAGGACAGAAGUGAGAGAUAACAUAGUAUUAUGAAAAUAGGGAGCCACAAGACAAGACCUGCAGUCAGCUUGUAGAAGCUGAAAAAAGUCAAGAAAGGGAAUGGUCCCAGAAUGUCCUGAGGGAAACAGCUUUGCUGAUACAUUGACCUCAUCACAGUGAGCCUGGAGUUGGAUGCCAGAUCUACAGGACUGAGGAAUAAAAGGCAAGCGGGUCCUGGCCCUUGCACUGCAGUUGAGGGAAUCUGAGGGCAGCAUGCAGGCACCAGCACCGAGGGAAGCUUUGGGCCUAGGCCGCAGGUUCCUAUCCUGAGACCAUAGCAGGAUGUGCCUUGGACAAAGAGGCAGUUAAAUAUUGAAUAGAUUCAGAACAUCUGAUGACGGUUUCUCUAAAAGCCUCUCUGGACCAGCUACCCCAUUAUGGGUCCUUCCCACUCCCCCAAAAUUGGUGAAAUACUGUUCUGUAUUUUUCUGUGCACUGAAGUAAUUUCAUAUUUAAAGAAAUUUUGGCAUUGGCUUGUGGUUAUGAGAAA
This is a long non-coding RNA of Heterocephalus glaber (naked mole-rat), 564 nucleotides long. The record is from Ensembl. Lineage: Eukaryota; Metazoa; Chordata; Mammalia; Rodentia; Bathyergidae.